CCCACGGCUGUCUCCGCAGCGGCGGGGAGCAGCGGGCUGCGGGCCUGGGCGGAGACCUCGCCGCUUGCGCCCUGCGGACACACUGCUUUCUGCAGGCACUGGUCCCAGAGAAACGGCGUUAACGGCAUUUUACGUGUUUGAUCCAGAGGGCGAAGGACACAUCAGCAACGACUACGAAGUAUACUUCUGUGUUUGGUUCUUGAACCUUAACAAAAUCGUGUUGUUAUGUGCCAGGCAACUAAGAAGUCUGGAUUAUGUUUCAUAUUCUCUCAUAAAAUUAAGGAAUCUGAAUCUUAGCUGACUGCUCGUUAGUGCCAUCAUUUUCAAAUCCUUGCACAAAGUUAAACAUACGCAGUGAAAGGGUAAGGAUAUCAUUAAACUCCCUGGAAGCUAACUGCCUGUGCUAUUUUCUGCUGCUCAGGCCACAGUAGCAAGAACUCUGAGAGACACUUGGAGCAUUACAAAUGAGAGGUCACUGCUGGGUAGAACAGACGUUCUGGUCUUCCCCUACUGAUGCAGCAGGCAACUUGGACUACACGUCGUGAUGCUACACCAUCACACAUGGAGAAGAAAAGGAGGAGUAAAUGGCACCAUGUCGUUACCUGGAAUUAAAUCUCAAAUUGUAAGCAUUGAGAGAUCUGUGUGUUUUCUUCUCGCCACAAAAACAUUCAU
Molecule: long non-coding RNA, 672 nt
Organism: Gymnogyps californianus (California condor)
Lineage: Eukaryota; Metazoa; Chordata; Aves; Accipitriformes; Cathartidae
Exons: 3
Source: RefSeq, a predicted model, not a curated record